GACGAACGCUGGCGGCGUGCUUAACACAUGCAAGUCGAACGGAAAGGCCCUGCUUUUGUGGGGUGCUCGAGUGGCGAACGGGUGAGUAACACGUGAGUAACCUGCCCUUGACUUUGGGAUAACUUCAGGAAACUGGGGCUAAUACCGGCUAGGAGCUCCUGCUGCAUGGUGGGGGUUGGAAAGUUUCGGCGGUUGGGGAUGGACUCGCGGCUUAUCAGCUUGUUGGUGGGGUAGUGGCUUACCAAGGCUUUGACGGGUAGCCGGCCUGAGAGGGUAACCGGCCACAUUGGGACUGAGAUACGGCCCAGACUCCUACGGGAGGCAGCAGUGGGGAAUAUUGCACAGUGGGCGGAAGCCUGAUGCAGCAACGCCGCGUGCGGGAUGAAGGCCUUCGGGUUGUAAACCGCUUUCGCCUGUGACGAAGCGUGAGUGACGGUAAUGGGUAAAGAAGCACCGGCUAACUACGUG
This 468-nucleotide ribosomal RNA is filed under the name uncultured bacterium. Its description in RNAcentral is "partial 16S ribosomal RNA". It matches the Rfam family "Bacterial small subunit ribosomal RNA", at positions 28 to 507 of the family's 1533-position model. The record is from RNAcentral.